AGCAGUGGUAUCAACGCAGAGCAAUGGGCUUGAGUUAACUUAAACCCCUUUAUGCCUUCCCAGGUACUGGGAAUGCCCAGUGUUGUGAUGGUGAGCAUAUCAAAAGGACCUGUAAUGAGAAUCACCUAUGCAUUGUGCUCCAACAGCUCUGUCUAUGCUCUAUUUCUAGAUUGCUUGUCAAAUAAUUCACAGCUGUAUAUUUUGAACAGCUAAAGAGAACACUCACACAGCUUUUUACAAAAGACUUCUUCUUCUGUCC
Taeniopygia guttata (zebra finch) is the source of this 259-nucleotide non-coding RNA. The record is from RefSeq and is a predicted model, not a curated record. NCBI's taxonomy places the organism in Eukaryota, Metazoa, Chordata, Aves, Passeriformes, Estrildidae.